This 1511-nucleotide ribosomal RNA is filed under the name metagenome. RNAcentral describes it as "bacterial SSU rRNA". It matches the Rfam family "Bacterial small subunit ribosomal RNA". The record is from RNAcentral.
AGAGUUUGAUCCUGGCUCAGAACGAACGUUGGCGGCGUGGAUUAGGCAUGCAAGUCGAACGAGAAAGAGGGAGCAAUCCCUUAAGUAAAGUGGCGAACUGGUGAGUAACAGGUGGGUAAUGUGCCUUAUUGUGGGGGAUAACACUUGGAAACAGGUGCUAAUACCGCAUAUGGCUCAGGCGAUGCGAGUUGCCUGAGUUAAAGGUGCUCAAAAUUUAUUUUGGGUGUCGCAAUAAGAUCAGCCCGCCCCUGAUUAGCCUGUUGGUGGGGUAACGGCCUACCAAAGCUAUGAUCAGUAGCUGGUCUGAGAGGAUGGUCAGCCACACUGGGACUGAGAUACGGCCCAGACUCCUACGGGAGGCAGCAGUCUAGAGGCUUCGGCAAUGGGGGAAACCCUGACCGAGCGACGCCGCGUGCGGGAUUGAAGGCCGUGAGGUCGUAAACCGCUGUCAGCAGGGAAGAAUGCCCGAAUGGUGAAUUUGGGAGAGACGGUACCUGCAGAGGAAGCCCCGGCUAACUCCGUGCCAGCAGCCGCGGUAAUACGGGGGGGGCUGACGUUGUUCGGAAUUACUGGGCGUAAAGGUGCGUAGGCGGUUCGGUAAGUCUAGCGUGAAAUCUCACCGCUCACCGGUGAAACGGCGCUGGAAACUGCCGAGCUCGAGGAUGGAAGAGGUAGGUGGAAUUCCUGGUGUAGCGGUGGAAUGCGUAGAUAUCAGGAAGAACACUCGUGGCGAAGGCGGCCUACUGGUCCAUUUCUGACGCUGAGGCACGAAAGCCAGGGGAGCGAACGGGAUUAGAUACCCCGGUAGUCCUGGCCAUAAACUGUGAACACUAGGUGUCGGGGGUAUCGACCCCCUCGGUGCCGGAGCUAACGCGUUAAGUGUUCCGCCUGGGGAGUACGACCGCAAGGUUGAAACUCAAAGGAAUUGACGGGGGCCCGCACAAGCGGUGGAGUAUGUGGUUUAAUUCGACGCAACGCGAAGAACCUUACCAAGGCUUAAACUGCAGGGUAAACCCUCCGAAAGGAGGGCUGCUUCGGCGAUCCUGUAGAGGUGCUGCAUGGCUGUCGUCAGCUCGUGUCGUGAGAUGUUGGGUUAAGUCCCGCAACGAGCGCAACCCUUGUCCUUAGUUACCAGCGCGUCAUGGCGGGGACUCUAAGGAGACUGCCGUCGUAAGACGGAGGAAGGUGGGGAUGACGUCAAGUCCUCAUGGCCCUUAUGUCUUGGGCUACACACGUACUACAAUGGCCGGUACAACGAGUCGCAAGGCCGCGAGGUCAAGCUAAUCUCUUAAAGCCGGUCCCAGUUCAGAUUGCAGUCUGCAACUCGACUGCAUGAAGGUGGAAUCGCUAGUAAUCGCAGAUCAGCACGCUGCGGUGAAUACGUUCCCGGGCCUUGUACACACCGCCCGUCACAUCACGAAAGUCGGUUGUACCAGAAGUCACCAAGCUAACCGCAAGGAGGCAGGUGCCUAAGGUAUGGUCGGUAAUUGGGAUGAAGUCGUAACAAGGUA